This is a small nucleolar RNA of Peromyscus maniculatus bairdii (prairie deer mouse), 129 nucleotides long. Lineage: Eukaryota; Metazoa; Chordata; Mammalia; Rodentia; Cricetidae. The record is from Ensembl.
ACUCUCUGGUUCCCUUUCCUAUCAGAUUUUGACCCUGGUUUUGGCAGUUGUGAAGGAGGAAGAAUACACUGAGGCUCACGUCACAGCAAUGUAGUCUAGCAUAGAGCAUAGGGCCAGACUGACACAGGC